UGUGGCUGGGGGUGAAAGGCCAAUCAAACCGGGAGAUAGCUGGUUCUCCCCGAAAGCUAUUUAGGUAGCGCCUCGUGAAUUCAUCUCCGGGGGUAGAGCACUGUUUCGGCAAGGGGGUCAUCCCGACUUACCAACCCGAUGCAAACUGCGAAUACCGGAGAAUGUUAUCACGGGAGACACACGGCGGGUGCUAACGUCCGUCGUGAAGAGGGAAACAACCCAGACCGCCAGCUAAGGUCCCAAAGUCAUGGUUAAGUGGGAAACGAUGUGGGAAGGCCCAGACAGCCAGGAUGUUGGCUUAGAAGCAGCCAUCAUUUAAAGAAAGCGUAAUAGCUCACUGGUCGAGUCGGCCUGCGCGGAAGAUGUAACGGGGCUAAACCAUGCACCGAAGCUGCGGCAGCGACGCUUAUGCGUUGUUGGGUAGGGGAGCGUUCUGUAAGCCUGUGAAGGUGGCCUGUGAGGGUUGCUGGAGGUAUCAGAAGUGCGAAUGCUGACAUAAGUAACGAUAAAGCGGGUGAAAAGCCCGCUCGCCGGAAGACCAAGGGUUCCUGUCCAACGUUAAUCGGGGCAGGGUGAGUCGACCCCUAAGGCGAGGCCGAAAGGCGUAGUCGAUGGGAAACAGGUUAAUAUUCCUGUACUUGGUGUUACUGCGAAGGGGGGACGGAGAAGGCUAUGUUGGCCGGGCGACGGUUGUCCCGGUUUAAGCGUGUAGGCUGGUUUUCCAGGCAAAUCCGGAAAAUCAAGGCUGAGGCGUGAUGACGAGGCACUACGGUGCUGAAGCGACAAAUGCCCUGCUUCCAGGAAAAGCCUCUAAGCAUCAGGUAACAUCAAAUCGUACCCCAAACCGACACAGGUGGUCAGGUAGAGAAUACCAAGGCGCUUGAGAGAACUCGGGUGAAGGAACUAGGCAAAAUGGUGCCGUAACUUCGGGAGAAGGCACGCUGAUAUGUAGGUGAAGCGACUUGCUCGUGGAGCUGAAAUCAGUCGAAGAUACCAGCUGGCUGCAACUGUUUAUUAAAAACACAGCACUGUGCAAACACGAAAGUGGACGUAUACGGUGUGACGCCUGCCCGGUGCCGGAAGGUUAAUUGAUGGGGUUAGCGGUAACGCGAAGCUCUUGAUCGAAGCCCCGGUAAACGGCGGCCGUAACUAUAACGGUCCUAAGGUAGCGAAAUUCCUUGUCGGGUAAGUUCCGACCUGCACGAAUGGCGUAAUGAUGGCCAGGCUGUCUCCACCCGAGACUCAGUGAAAUUGAACUCGCUGUGAAGAUGCAGUGUACCCGCGGCAAGACGGAAAGACCCCGUGAACCUUUACUAUAGCUUGACACUGAACAUUGAGCCUUGAUGUGUAGGAUAGGUGGGAGGCUUUGAAGUGUGGACGCCAGUCUGCAUGGAGCCGACCUUGAAAUACCACCCUUUAAUGUUUGAUGUUCUAACGUGGGCCCCUUACCGGGGUUGCGGACAGUGUCUGGUGGGUAGUUUGACUGGGGCGGUCUCCUCCUAAAGAGUAACGGAGGAGCACGAAGGUUGGCUAAUCCUGGUCGGACAUCAGGAGGUUAGUGCAAUGGCAUAAGCCAGCUUGACUGCGAGCGUGACGGCGCGAGCAGGUGCGAAAGCAGGUCAUAGUGAUCCGGUGGUUCUGAAUGGAAGGGCCAUCGCUCAACGGAUAAAAGGUACUCCGGGGAUAACAGGCUGAUACCGCCCAAGAGUUCAUAUCGACGGCGGUGUUUGGCACCUCGAUGUCGGCUCAUCACAUCCUGGGGCUGAAGUAGGUCCCAAGGGUAUGGCUGUUCGCCAUUUAAAGUGGUACGCGAGCUGGGUUUAGAACGUCGUGAGACAGUUCGGUCCCUAUCUGCCGUGGGCGCUGGAGAACUGAGGGGGGCUGCUCCUAGUACGAGAGGACCGGAGUGGACGCAUCACUGGUGUUCGGGUUGUCAUGCCAAUGGCACUGCCCGGUAGCUAAAUGCGGAAGAGAUAAGUGCUGAAAGCAUCUAAGCACGAAACUUGCCCCGAGAUGAGUUCUCCCUGAGACUUAGAGUCUCCUGAAGGAACGUUGAAGACGACGACGUUGAUAGGCCGGGUGUGUAAGCGCAGCGAUGCGUUGAGCUAACCGGUACUAAUGAACCGUGAGGCUUAACC
Molecule: ribosomal RNA, 2138 nt
Filed under: human gut metagenome
Description: bacterial LSU rRNA
Rfam family: Bacterial large subunit ribosomal RNA
Source: RNAcentral